This 492-nucleotide ribosomal RNA is filed under the name uncultured bacterium. Its description in RNAcentral is "partial 16S ribosomal RNA". It matches the Rfam family "Bacterial small subunit ribosomal RNA", at positions 29 to 507 of the family's 1533-position model. The record is from RNAcentral.
AGUGAACGCUGGCGGUAGGCCUAACACAUGCAAGUCGAACGGAAGCACAGUAAGAGCUUGCUCUUACGGGUGGCGAGUGGCGGACGGGUGAGGAAUACAUCGGCAUCUACUUUUUCGUGGGGGAUAACGUAGGGAAACUUACGCUACUACCGCAUACGACCUACGGGUGAAAGCAGGGGAUCUUCGGACCUUGCGCGAUUGAUUGAGCCGAUGUCGGAUUAGCUAGUUGGCGGGGUAAAGGCACACCAAGGCGACGAUCCGUAGCUGGUCUGAGAGGAUGAUCAGCCACACUGGAACUGAGACACGGUCCAGACUCCUACGGGAGGCAGCAGUGGGGAAUAUUGGACAAUGGGCGCAAGCCUGAUCCAGCCAUACCGCGUGAGUGAAGAAGGCCUUCGGGUUGUAAAGCCCUUUUGUUGGGAAAGAAAAGCAGCAGGUUAAUACCCCGCUGUUCUGACGGUACCCAAAGAAUAAGCACCGGCUAACUUCGUG